UCCCGUUAUGAUUGGCGAUUCUGGUGUUGGGAAAUCAUGCCUUCUUUCACGUUUUACUAGAAACGAAUUCGAUCAGGAAUCGAAGUCUAUCUACAAUUGGAGUGGAAUUUGCGACCAGAAGUUUGGAAAUCGGUGGCGAAGUUAUUAAAGCUCAGGUUUGGGAUACUGCAGGUCAAGAAAGGUGCAGAGCAAUUACAAGUGCUUAUUACAGGGGAGCAGUUGGUGCUGCUAUUCUAGUUUAUGACUUAACAAAACAAGACUAAUUACGUCAAAAGAACACAUCAUUAGAAUAUCCAGUAUCUUGGUCAUCUAAAAGAUUCAAUAUGAAUAAAUGGUCACAUGUUGGUUUGAUCUGAAAA
Xenia sp. Carnegie-2017 is the source of this 359-nucleotide long non-coding RNA. RefSeq lists it as uncharacterized. Lineage: Eukaryota; Metazoa; Cnidaria; Anthozoa; Malacalcyonacea; Xeniidae. The record is from RefSeq and is a predicted model, not a curated record. The transcript has 3 exons.